AGUGAACGCUGGCGGUAGGCCUAACACAUGCAAGUCGAACGGCAGCACAGUAAGAGCUUGCUCUUACGGGUGGCGAGUGGCGGACGAGUGAGGAAUACAUCGGAAUCUACUUUUUCGUGGGGGAUAACGUAGGGAAACUUACGCUAAUACCGCAUACGACCUACGGGUGAAAGCAGGGGAUCUUCGGACCUUGCGCGAUUGAAUGAGCCGAUGUCGGAUUAGCUAGUUGGCGGGGUAAAGGCCCACCAAGGCGACGAUCCGUAGCUGGUCUGAGAGGAUGAUCAGCCACACUGGAACUGAGACACGGUCCAGACUCCUACGGGAGGCAGCAGUGGGGAAUAUUGGACAAUGGGCGCAAGCCUGAUCCAGCCAUACCGCGUGGGUGAAGGCCUUCGGGUUGUAAAGCCCUUUUGUUGGGAAAGAAAAGCAGCAGGUUAAUACCCCGCUGUUCUGACGGUACCCAAAGAAUAAGCACCGGCUAACUUCGUG
RNAcentral lists this ribosomal RNA (489 nucleotides) under uncultured bacterium. Its description in RNAcentral is "partial 16S ribosomal RNA". It matches the Rfam family "Bacterial small subunit ribosomal RNA", at positions 29 to 507 of the family's 1533-position model. The record is from RNAcentral.